Molecule: ribosomal RNA, 496 nt
Filed under: uncultured bacterium
Lineage: Bacteria
Description: partial 16S ribosomal RNA
Rfam family: Bacterial small subunit ribosomal RNA
Source: RNAcentral
ACGCACGCUGGCGGCGUGCCUAAUCCAUGCAAGUAGCACGCUGAAGAGAGGAGCUUGCUCUUCUUGGAUGAGUUGCGAACGGGUGAGUAACGCGUAGGUAACCUGCCUUGUAGCGGGGGAUAACUAUUGGAAACGAUAGCUAAUACCGCAUAACAAUGGAUGACACAUGUCAUUUAUUUGAAAGGGGCAAUUGCUCCACUACAAGAUGGACCUGCGUUGUAUUAGCUAGUAGGUGAGGUAAUGGCUCACCUAGGCGACGAUACAUAGCCGACCUGAGAGGGUGAUCGGCCACACUGGGACUGAGACACGGCCCAGACUCCUACGGGAGGCAGCAGUAGGGAAUCUUCGGCAAUGGGGGCAACCCUGACCGAGCAACGCCGCGUGAGUGAAGAAGGUUUUCGGAUCGUAAAGCUCUGUUGUAAGUCAAGAACGGGUGUGAGAGUGGAAAGUUCACACUGUGACGGUAGCUUACCAGAAAGGGACGGCUAACUACGUG